GAAAUGCGAUAAGUAAUGUGAAUUGCAGAAUUCAGUGAAUCAUCGAAUCUUUGAACGCACAUUGCGCCCCCUGGUAUUCCGGGGGGCAUGCCUGUUCGAGCGUCAUUUCACCACUCAAGCCUCGCUUGGUAUUGGGCGACGCGGUCCGCCGCGCGCCUCAAAUCGACCGGCUGGGUCUUUCGUCCCCUCAGCGUUGUGGAAACUAUUCGCUAAAGGGUGCCGCGGGAGGCCACGCCGUAAAACAACCCCAUUUCUAAGGUUUACCUCGGAUCAGGUAGGGAUACCCGCUGAACUUAAGC
Molecule: unclassified non-coding RNA, 299 nt
Filed under: plant metagenome
Description: partial contains 5.8S ribosomal RNA, internal transcribed spacer 2, and large subunit ribosomal RNA
Rfam family: 5.8S ribosomal RNA (bases 1-105)
Source: RNAcentral